Long non-coding RNA from Bombus pyrosoma, 3517 nucleotides. RefSeq lists it as uncharacterized. The record is from RefSeq and is a predicted model, not a curated record. Lineage: Eukaryota; Metazoa; Arthropoda; Insecta; Hymenoptera; Apidae. The transcript has 3 exons.
UAUUAUUUUUAUUUUACAAACUUCUCAUAAAUUCAGCGCAUAGCUACUAUUACAACCAGAAAGUUGAUUACAAUACAAAAGAAUAUACAAAAUAGUUCACAUUCUUCAUUUCUUUAUAAAAAUGAGGAUUAACAUACGAAUUAUUUUUACACGAUUCUAAUCAUAUAUUCUACUAACUUCUAUUACUAAUAUUAUUUCAUACCGAUUUAUACCAUGGUUGUUAUUUUACAUCAAAAUAAAGCAACUUAUUAUUAAAGACAUUCCUAUAUACAUAAAUCAUAAUUUAAGAAUUAUAAUAAAUAUUUUACAUUUUCCGUAAAUAUGAAUUCCAAUUCUAUUUAAAGAAAACGAUUCAGAUCAUGGAAUAAUAUGACUACAUAUGUACUAUAUAUAUAUUUUGCAAUUGAUUAAAAAUAUGUAUAUAAGAAUAUGAAAUUACAGACGAAAGAAUAUUUUAAAUUUAAUACAAACAGCAUACAUAUCCUCGGUAUAUAUGUGAAGAUGGCAGUAAAGGAAACGGCCAUAUUAUUUCAGAACAUAUUUUUCAAAUCAAAGAUACUUAAUUAUUAUAAUCACAAGUAACAUUUCAGAAAUGAAAUUAAAUUUUAAAAUAGCAAUUUAUUUAGGUGGUAUAGAAGUUAAAUAUCGCCCAAAAUUUUUCUAUAUCGGUCGUAGGUAUAAUAUUGAUUACUUAUGAUUCAUGCUAUCCCCUUUAAGGUGGUUCAUCCUUGUCCCCAUCCGCACUCCACCGCUCUGAGUUUCCGCCACUUCUACCAUCUCUCUCUUUCUCUUUCUCUCUUCAUUUUUGUUGCUCUUUUUUUACGGUCAUCUCGCUUCUUAUUCUCUCUAUUUCUUUUGCACUUCAGUCAGUUUCUUUCUCCUUUCCACGUGGCAUCGUUCUUUCUUUCUUUCUUUCUCGCUUAUUCACUUACAUACAUAUAUAUAUGUACGCGUGCGCGCACACAAAUAUACGCAAUCGCACGUAUUAUCCCACUACUUGCUCUAUUCCUGCGUGUAACGACUCAAUGGCGUUGCCACACCCUUUCGCCAUCGAGUAAUCAGUGUUAUUGUUUUACAGUUCCACUUCUGUUAUUAUUUCUCGUUAUAAGGAGCGUAAUGUAUCGAUUCGAGAAAUAUUUUAAACACAUCGCGACAAUGUGUAUUCGUAUUUAACGAAAUAAAACAGGGAGAAACGAUGAUUCAGCAUUAAAAUCGGUUAUAUCGAUAAUGAAGGAAUAAUAUGUAAAGAAACCAAUUUGUGUAGUCUACGCCCCUGGAUUCUUGAUGUUUGGGCUUGGUUUUACAGAUAUACCAUAUUACAUAUUUCGUUUAUUUCGAAACAAAUUUUAAAUUUGCAGUAUGAAAUAGUUCAUCGUUUUCUUGUUUUCCAAACUUGCAAGUUUUUAGAUUUAUUUAUGUACUUUAAAGUAUAUUUUCAUCAAUUUUAAGUUGCAUUAUAAGCCUGUGUGGUAUAAGCAUUACUGUAAAUUCUGGAUUACAAGAUAAAUAAUUCAUUUUUUAGAUUCAAAGAUUUUGAAGUUAUAAAUAGAUUAUGGGUGUUUAUGUAAAUUCAUAUUUUUAUGAACACAUUCAAUGAUAUGAAAUCUAAGCAAAGGUUUGAUCCUUCCACUAAAUAUUAUGACGACUACUUUUUCGAAUAUUUUAUUUAUUUUUACAUUUAUAUAUGCAUCCUGUACAUGCAUUUUUGCAUCUUUAAAUUUCCCAUAAAAGCUCAAACAUCCGCAAUCUAUAAGAUUACUAAUAUAUUUUAUUACAUAGUUUCGUUUUAUUAACAUGCAAUUUAUUUAUUAUAUAUAUAAACUAUUCUCAUAAUUAUUAUAUGUUUCCAUGUUGUAAUAUGGUAAAGUUCGAAACCGAAACACACCACAAUAAUAGGAAAUGUAUAAUAAAUGAUGAAAUCCUUAUGCCAAAAUGAUGAAUGUACAAAUUUUUUAUUUUUCGGUAAUGAAGCGAACUUAAUGUCUUCUUCAAAUCUCAACUCUAUAAAUUAUAUAAAAUGCUGGACGUGGCACAACAAACGUAGUAUGACAACAGUGAUUAUACUCUACUUGAUUCAUCAUUCUAUCUAUUUUAUAUUUAAUCGCGAACUUCUAUAAUCUAUCGAAUCGUACAUUCGCGAUAUUGGCAUAAGAGAAAUGAUAUAAUGUAUGGAUAAUAAUACAUUCGAGUAUGCAAUACAACGUAUAUUAUAUGCGUGAAGUAAGUUAGUGAAACGAAACUAUUUCGUACGCGUACAUAUACAAAUACACGUAUGUAUUUAGAAUAUGUCAAACGUUUUUCUGAAAUCUCAAGAGAUCAGUGGAAAACUUCGUAGCCUGUUUAAGACUCGGAUUGAAGUAUAGUUAGAUAAGAGCAAUUAUCAAUGAUUUUUAAGAAAAGAAGAAUUUCUUGCACUUAUUUGAAUUGAUGAUAAUAAAUGAUGUAAGGAUUUUAGUAAAAUGAUUGGGAAGAUUCUGACUACGUGUAACUUUCUUAAAGAAUGAAAAAUUUCGAAGACGAAUGUUCAAUGUUACAUUGUAAAAUGUAGAUAUUCUUGAAUAUAUGUUUUAGUUAAAUAUGUAAGAAAGGAAAUUUGAUGUGUAUGUUAAAGAUUAAAAGUUACUACUAUUAUAGCUAUAAUGCUACUUUUUAUUUAGAAUUAAAAUCAUCCGCAUUCGAAUAAUCAUCUUUUACUCCUCAUCGUACUUUACAUCGAAUCAUUUUAUAUCAAUAAAAAAUCUAAAGUAUUUGUAUGGCAUAGUAUAUUUCCUAUUGCCUUUUUCAUUUUUACUAAACGUAUUAAAUAGGUACUAAUGUAUUAUCUAUUUAGUUAAUAAAAAUUCCGAAUUCCAAGUGAAAACCUAGAUUAAAGAACGCGCAAUAAAAUAUCGCAAAAUAUCGAAUAGCACAAAUAAUGAAAUAUAUAAUAGUAAACAAUAAAAUUUGAAAAAAAAAAUGUAAAUAUAAUGUAUAUACGCUACUGGACUACUUAGUUUCUUGCCAUAGAAAGAAAAAUUUUUAUAAAUAUCAUAAUAAAUGAUAGUCGGACAGAAAUAAUAAAUUCAUGAUAGAAAGAUGAAGUUGAACAUUCGAUCUAACAUCUAACAUUUUUUAAUUUUUUUAUCAAGAUAUGAGAUCAAACGUUUUUGUUAAAUAAUGAUACUUUUUCCAGUGUUUCUUCUCAGUUACAUUUAAUUGUCAAUUAAAAGCAGUUUUUAUCCACACAUACAUACAUACAUACAUACAACAGUGUUUUGCAUAGAUCAGCGUUUUGUUAUACAUACAUAUGUAAGUUAACACUAGAGUUAUUAGUGAUUAUAAUAACUAAUCCAUAAUUUUUCAUGGAAAUUUCAUAGAUCGACAAUAUAUUUUUAGGAAUUUGAAUGAUCAUAAGAUUAUGUAUGUAUGUAUAUGCAUAAUUGAGGAUUCCAGUUCGUAUGAUAACAAAAUUUAUAUUUUUUUUUAUAUACCUUCAACUUAAAUUUCUUUAGCAUAAAUUUUAUAGUUCUGGUGUUGU